This 254-nucleotide unclassified non-coding RNA is filed under the name uncultured Pirellulaceae bacterium. Its description in RNAcentral is "contains 16S-23S intergenic spacer region". It matches the Rfam family "Bacterial small subunit ribosomal RNA", at positions 524 to 776 of the family's 1533-position model. The record is from RNAcentral. Lineage: Bacteria; Pseudomonadati; Planctomycetota; Planctomycetia; Pirellulales; Pirellulaceae.
CACGAACCGGACGAACGUUAUUCGGAAUUACUGGGCUUAAAGGGUGCGUAGGCGGUCUGGAAGGUGGGGUGUGAAAUCCCUCGGCUCAACCGAGGAAUAGCGCUCCAAACCGCCAGGCUUGAGCGAGACAGAGGUGAGCGGAACUCACGGUGGAGCGGUGAAAUGCGUUGAUAUCGUGAGGAACACCGGUGGCGAAAGCGGCUCACUGGGUCUGUAGCUGACGCUGAGGCACGAAAGCUAGGGGAGCGAACAGG